Molecule: ribosomal RNA, 254 nt
Filed under: uncultured bacterium
Lineage: Bacteria
Description: partial 16S ribosomal RNA
Rfam family: Bacterial small subunit ribosomal RNA
Source: RNAcentral
UACGUAGGGGGCAAGCGUUACCCGGAUUUACUGGGCGUAAAGCGCGUGUAGGCGGCUGGCCAAGUGUGGUGUGAAAUCCCCCGGCUCAACCGGGGAACUGCAUUGCAAACUGGUCUGGCUAGAGUGCAGGAGAGGGAAGUGGAAUUCCCAGUGUAGCGGUGAAAUGCGUAGAUAUCGGGAGGAACACCAGUGGCGAAGGCGGCUUCCUGGCCUGCAACUGACGCUGAGACGCGAAAGCGUGGGGAGCGAACCGG